CAGAGAUAAAAGACAGGGGCUGUCUGCACAUGAGCAGCAACCCCGGAAAGUCUGGAGCGAUUGCAAACCUAAGAGCAAAUACCAGUCAGCAAAACAGUGCUGCUAUUAAGAACGCUAACACAGUGAUGCAGUAACAGGAGGGUGACAGGCCAAAACCAGGAAAAGGCACCCAAGAUGUUAACCACAUUCUUGGAUUCCUGGGCACCCUCCAGUUUCUGACCUUGUUCUCCUAAACUCCAGCCUGCAACUCUCUGUGAAAAUGCAAAUAGCAAAAUGGGGAUAAUAUGUUACCGAAUACAGGAAAAGCAGAAGGAAACAUUCAGAUUGUCAUGAGACAAGCUAUUCCGUUUACUGAGUGCUGAAAACUAAGAGCGGCAGAUAGACUGGGUAACAUGGAGGAUCAGAAGGGAAAACAAGCAUAAAAAAUGUUACAUUAAUUGGGGCUGUCCCCGUGGCCCAGUGGUUAAGUUCGUGCGCUCCGCUGCAGGCGGCCCAGUGUUUCGAAUCCUGGGCGUGGACCUGACACUGCUCAUCAAACCACGCUGAGGCAGCGUCCCACAUGCCACAACUGGAAGGCCCACAAUGAAGAAUAUACAACUAUGUACUGGAGGGCUUUGGGGAGAAAAAGGAAAAAAGUAAAAUCUUUAAAAAAAGAAAUGUUACAUUAAGAUAUGAUUUUGCGUGGUAACUGAAAUGGAAACAUGAAUCUAAGAUGUGAAAGAAAUAAAAUAAAAUUUCUGACUUAGAGGAAAGCCUGCUUAUGUAACUUUAAAAAUAGAUUUGUUUGCUAUGAUAUUUAGGUACUUUUGGAUACUUUUUACAAAGUGGUCUAGCUGUUUCAUUUAAUAAAUGCUAAUUGUUACAAUAUAACAGAAAUUGUCUUCUUUGCAACCAAUUAAACAUGAUGAAAAGUCUUUUAGCCAAUAUGUAAGCAAACAUUUUUGAAGACCUACCACACUAUGCUCUUUCUUCCCUGAAAUGUGAUUGUACUUAUUCUGUUUACAUCUGUCCAAGCACAUUAAUGUAGCCCAUCUUGUAUUAACUAAUUUAUUCUUCUUCCUCUGUCUUAUCUCCAUCUGGAUCAGCUAUGGUGUCCAGCUCCAUGCUGGAUUCAUAGCACAAUGUGGACUCAAUAUAAUUUUCAUAUGAGAGUCAUCUGAAAAACAGAUAAUAAACUCAGAUACAGAAAUAUCUGCUGAUUUCUCACUGUUUUUCUCAUCUUCAGAGAGUGUCCUAUUUUUGGCCCUUCCCCCCCACUUCGCUGAUGACUUGAAUUUCCAUAGCCCUCUCACCACCUUUUACAAUCUCUUAAUCAUUCCUCUUUCAAAGCAUUUGAAUUUAGGUUUAGUAUUGGGUGACUACCAAGUGAAUCAUUUGGAUUGUGAAAAAUAACCCUAGAUCAAUUUAUUUUAUUUCUCCAGUACACUGUUUCAAGUCUCUUUUACUUCUUCCUUUAUGAGGGUAUUUCUCUGGCACAGUUUCCAACUGAUAGGAGAUCUCUAGAAAAGAGUGUUAAAUUAAAGAUAUCAGUUACUGGCUUAUGUCUUAAUGAAACAGUUAGCUUAAGAAGCUUUAGAUUUAAAUUAUUCACCCGGAACAAUUAUGCUGUCUUACGCAAGGCAGUUCACCAACUUCCCUAUAAGUAAUUGGCUGAAACUGAAAGUCUGAGGCACCUCCAUUAACAGAUUGAUUAGAGACGUUAUUGGUCCUGGAAGGGGCAGUUCUUUUAGGCAAAGUUGGGUUCAGUGCUUUGAACAGUAUUAAGACUUAAACUUAUAAAAUGAGUGUUAAAUUAAUUUACAGUGGAGCUCAUAUUACCAAUCAAAGAAUCAAUGGCCAAACUGAUUUGAGGGAUGGUCUUAUUAUGAUCUACUAUAGAUCAAAGAGAUUUCUAUUAUGUGACAAAAUUUCCAUGGUGCCCAUUUAUUCUCCUUCCAUGAAUUGUACUAGUGCCAUCAUGUCUUUCAUUCUUUGUGCGUGUGUGUAUGUGUGUGAGGAAGAUUGGCAUGAGCUAACAACUGUGCCAAUCUUCCUCUAUUUUAUGUGUGAUGCCACCACAGUAUGGCUUGAGCUGCAGUGGGUGGUCCACUCUGGGGAUCCGAAUCUGUGAAUCCCAGACCCUGGAAGUGGAGCAUGGGAACUUAGCCACUACACCAUUGCGGGCCCCAUGUCUUUUGUAUUUUAAAAAGAGAUUUCUUAUUCCAUAUACAGAAAUUAUUGUAGGUCAACAAAUUAUCAUGUUUUUCUUCUUGUGGCUUAGAGAACACAAGUGAUCACUCCAUCCAUUCCUGUAU
RNAcentral lists this long non-coding RNA (2294 nucleotides) under Equus caballus (horse). RNAcentral describes it as "lncRNA (ENSECAG00000046492.1)". The record is from RNAcentral. Lineage: Eukaryota; Metazoa; Chordata; Mammalia; Perissodactyla; Equidae.